This 200-nucleotide ribosomal RNA is filed under the name uncultured bacterium. Its description in RNAcentral is "partial 16S ribosomal RNA". It matches the Rfam family "Bacterial small subunit ribosomal RNA", at positions 8 to 204 of the family's 1533-position model. The record is from RNAcentral.
AGAGUUUGAUCAUGGCUCAGGACGAACGCUGGCGGCGUGCCUAAUACAUGCAAGUCGAGCGAAUCUUUGGGAGCUUGCUCCCGAAGGUUAGCGGCGGACGGGUGAGUAACACGUGGGCAACCUGCCUGUAAGACUGGGAUAACUUCGGGAAACCGGAGAUAAUACCAGAUAAUCCUUUUCCUCUCAUGAGGGAGAGCUGA